Molecule: ribosomal RNA, 460 nt
Filed under: Klebsiella pneumoniae
Lineage: Bacteria; Pseudomonadati; Pseudomonadota; Gammaproteobacteria; Enterobacterales; Enterobacteriaceae
Description: partial 23S ribosomal RNA
Rfam family: Bacterial large subunit ribosomal RNA
Source: RNAcentral
ACGUGGUAUCCUGUCUGAAUAUGGGGGGACCAUCCUCCAAGGCUAAAUACUCCUGACUGACCGAUAGUGAACCAGUACCGUGAGGGAAAGGCGAAAAGAACCCCGGCGAGGGGAGUGAAAAAGAACCUGAAACCGUGUACGUACAAGCAGUGGGAGCACCUUCGGGUGUGACUGCGUACCUUUUGUAUAAUGGGUCAGCGACUUAUAUUCUGUAGCAAGGUUAACCGUAUAGGGGAGCCGCAGGGAAACCGAGUCUUAACUGGGCGUUAAGUUGCAGGGUAUAGACCCGAAACCCGGUGAUCUAGCCAUGGGCAGGUUGAAGGUUGGGUAACACUAACUGGAGGACCGAACCGACUAGCGGAUGACUUGUAGCUGGGGGUGAAAGGCCAAUCAAACCGGGAGAUAGCUGGUUCUCCCCGAAAGCUAUUUAGGUAGCGCCUCGUGAACUCAUCUUCGGGGU